This 494-nucleotide ribosomal RNA is filed under the name uncultured bacterium. Its description in RNAcentral is "partial 16S ribosomal RNA". It matches the Rfam family "Bacterial small subunit ribosomal RNA", at positions 28 to 507 of the family's 1533-position model. The record is from RNAcentral.
GACGAACGCUGGCGGCGCGCUUAACACAUGCAAGUCGAACGGAAAGGCCUGCUUUCCCUUGUGGAUUGCGGGUACUCGAGUGGCGAACGGGUGAGUAACACGUGAGUGAUCUGCCCCCAACUUGGGUAUAAGCCUGGGAAACUGGGUCUAAUUCCCGAUAGGACUGCAGGGUGGUGCCUGUGGUGGAAAACGAUUUUUUAGUGGUUGGGGAUGAGCUCGCGGCCUAUCAGCUUGUUGGGGGGGUAAUGGACGACCAAGGCGGCGACGGGUAGCCAGCCUGGGAGGGUGGACGGCCACAUUGGGACUGGGAUACGGCCCAGACUCCUGCGGGAGGCAGCAGUGGGGAAGAAUGCACCAUGGGCGGAAGCCUGAUGCAGCGACGCCGCGUGGAAGAUGACGGCCUUCGGGUUGUAAACUACUUUCGACCGAGAGGAAGCCACCUGGUUGGAAGGGUGGUGACGGUAGUGGUAGAAGAAGCACCGGCUAACUACGUG